UACGAAGGGGGCGAGCGUUGUUCGGAAUUACUGGGCGUAAAGGGCGCGUAGGCGGCCGAUCAAGUCAGAUGUGAAAGUCCUGGGCUUAACCUGGGGACUGCAUUUGAUACUGAUUGGCUUGAAUUCGGGAGAGGAUAGCGGAAUUCCCAGUGUAGAGGUGAAAUUCGUAGAUAUUGGGAAGAACACCGGUGGCGAAGGCGGCUCACUGGCUCGUUUCUGACGCUCAGGCGCGACAGCGUGGGGAUCAAACAGG
This 253-nucleotide ribosomal RNA is filed under the name uncultured bacterium. RNAcentral describes it as "partial 16S ribosomal RNA". It matches the Rfam family "Bacterial small subunit ribosomal RNA", at positions 524 to 776 of the family's 1533-position model. The record is from RNAcentral.